Molecule: long non-coding RNA, 503 nt
Filed under: Lathyrus oleraceus (garden pea)
Lineage: Eukaryota; Viridiplantae; Streptophyta; Magnoliopsida; Fabales; Fabaceae
Description: Pisum sativum (pea) long non-coding RNA (PSAT_LNC005953)
Source: RNAcentral
UUUUUUGUCUCUUUGAAAUUUAAGUCAAUAUGGUUAAGUUUAUUCAAAAGUUUGAUUUAAGAAAAUAAGUUUUUUAAAAGUUCAAUGGCAUAAGGCCAAAGUUUCUAAUCAUUAAAACAUGUAUAAGUUUGAAAUUCACAAACAAAGAAGGUUUUGAAAAGAGGGAGAGAUUUUGAAAUUUACGAAGUGGGAGAAGAUGAAGAGACUACCCUAGGAAAAAAUUAAAAGUUAAGGGUUGGAAAGGUCUGACCAAUGGGAUGCAAUCCAACAGACAAGAAUGUCAUAUAGAAACCCAUUUUCCUUGGGACUUUGAUAAGCAAUAAGCAAUAAGCAAUAAGCAAUAAGCAAUAUCCAAUCAUCAUAUGAAGAUCAAGGCAUCAAAUAAAGAUGGCCACAAUAUCCAAGCAAGCAACGCCAAUAGCAAGCAUUCUUCAACUUCUUCCAAUGCAUCAUAUGAAAUAUUCCUUUGUCAACUCAGAACAAUAAUCAGACAUCAACAAUAA